CCUACGGGAGGCAGCAGUGAGGAAUAUUGGUCAAUGGACGAGAGUCUGAACCAGCCAUGCCGCGUGAAGGAUGACUGCCCUAUGGGUUGUAAACUUCUUUUAUAAAGGAAUAAAACGAGGCACGUGUGCCUUUUUGCAUGUACUUUAUGAAUAAGGAUCGGCUAACUCCGUGCCAGCAGCCGCGGUAAUACGGAGGAUCCGAGCGUUAUCCGGAUUUAUUGGGUUUAAAGGGUGCGUAGAUGGGUUGUUAAGUCAGUUGUGAAAGUUUGCGGCUCAACCGUAAAAUUGCAAUUGAUACUGGCAGUCUUGAGUAUAGUUGAGGUAGGCGGAAUUCGUGGUGUAGCGGUGAAAUGCUUAGAUAUCACGAAGAACCCCGAUUGCGAAGGCAGCUUACUAAACUGUGACUGACAUUGAUGCUCGAAAGUGUGGGUAGCAAACAGGAUUAGAUACCCCAGUAGUC
RNAcentral lists this ribosomal RNA (460 nucleotides) under uncultured bacterium. RNAcentral describes it as "partial 16S ribosomal RNA". It matches the Rfam family "Bacterial small subunit ribosomal RNA", at positions 338 to 795 of the family's 1533-position model. The record is from RNAcentral.